CAAAGAGUAGUUUAAGUAUAAAAAUAAUAACAUUGGAAGUUAUAGAUUAAAUGUAUAUUUAUUUUUUGA
RNAcentral lists this transfer RNA (69 nucleotides) under Eledone cirrhosa (curled octopus). RNAcentral's name for it is "tRNA-Pro". Lineage: Eukaryota; Metazoa; Mollusca; Cephalopoda; Octopoda; Eledonidae. The record is from RNAcentral.